RNAcentral lists this ribosomal RNA (406 nucleotides) under uncultured bacterium. RNAcentral's name for it is "partial 16S ribosomal RNA". It matches the Rfam family "Bacterial small subunit ribosomal RNA", at positions 30 to 526 of the family's 1533-position model. The record is from RNAcentral.
AUUGAACGCUGGCGGCAGGCUUAACACAUGCAAGUCGAGCGAGCGGCGGACGGGUGAGUACUGUCUGGGAAACUGCCUGAUGGAGGGGGAUCACUUCUGGAAACGGUAGCUAAUACCGCAUACCAUCAGAUGUGCCCAGAUGGGAUUAGCUAGUAGGGGGGGUAAUGGCUCACCUGGGCGACGAUCCCUAGCUGGUCUGCGAGGAUGACCAGCCACACUGGAACUGAGACACGGUACAGACUCCUACGGGAGGCAGCAGUGGGGAAUAUUGAACAAUGGGCGCAAGCCUGAUGCAGCCAUGCCGAGUGUGUGAAGAAGGCAUUCGGGUUGUAAAGCACUGUCAGCGAGGAGGCGUUACUAGCAGAAGAAGCACCGGCUAACUCCGUGCCAGCAGCCGCGGUAAUUC